Molecule: ribosomal RNA, 497 nt
Filed under: uncultured bacterium
Lineage: Bacteria
Description: partial 16S ribosomal RNA
Rfam family: Bacterial small subunit ribosomal RNA
Source: RNAcentral
GACGAACGCUGGCGGCGUGCCUAAUACAUGCAAGUUGAGCGAUGAAGAUUGGUGCUUGCACCAAUUUGAAGAGCAGCGAACGGGUGAGUAACGCGUGGGGAAUCUGCCUUUGAGCGGGGGACAACAUUUGGAAACGAAUGCUAAUACCGCAUAACAACUUUAAACAUAAGUUUUAAGUUUGAAAUAUGCAAUUGCAUCACUCAAAGAUGAUCCCGCGUUGUAUUAGCUAGUUGGUGAGGUAAAGGCUCACCAAGGCGAUGAUACAUAGCCGACCUGAGAGGGUGAUCGGCCACAUUGGGACUGAGACACGGCCCAAACUCCUACGGGGGGCAGCAGUAGGGAAUCUUCCGCAAUGGACGAAAGUCUGACCGAGCAACGCCGCGUGAGUGAAGAAGGUUUUCGGAUCGUAAAACUCUGUUGGUAGAGAAGAACGUUGGUGAGAGUGGAAAGCUCAUAAAGUGACGGUAACUACCCAGAAAGGGACGGCUAACUACGUG